UAAUCGACCAACAUAGUAGAGGUUAGCCCAGAAUUUGUGAUUGAGCCUUCAUGGUGACUAUGACUGUAUUGACAUAGAUCCUCAGAUUUUGUCACCAGCCAAGAGUCUAUAAUAGAAAAAUAGACAAGAACCACACAUGUCACUGGCUUUUCUAUGAAGUUUUACUGAGUCCUGCCUGUUCACCAGAUUCUCAGGGUGAAGGUUGGUAAGAAAGCGAAAUUGCCACUUCUAGCUCUUUGAAAAAUUCCUGGGGUCUAGAAGAGAAGACACAAAUAAGUCACCCUAAGCAAACACGAUUCUUGUGGAACAAACAACUCCAAGAAAACGUAUUCACUCUGGACAAAGCCACAGAAAGGGUUGGGGCAUUCCACCCUGGGAAGAGUGACCUGUUGUGAGGAUGCAGUUUUAGACAUGGUGGAAUUUGAGAUAACGUCUGGAACCUGAGUAGUGACUACCCAAUUGAAGAAGGGAUUAUCAACACCUAGAUUAGCAACAAGAACUGAUACAGCACGCUCAUCAAACAGGAGGAAAUCAAGACAUAAAGAGAUAGCAAAUAUCCAGGAAUUUGAAUAAAGCUGGUGCUAAAGUAUGACAAUCAAACAAAUAUGUUAAAAACUCUGUAAAUGAGGACUCUGUGCUUCAGACCAUGAAUCAUGCCCAUUUUCCCUCUCACCCAGUGCUCAUCUGCUCAGACUGGCUCAUAGGAAUAUGAUGUCUGAAUCUCAUGAGUGGAAUCCCCAAGUCCAUCCCAUGAAGAUAAUCUUUCCCUAGAUUAGUGGCUUUGACUGAGUCGACAUCACUCAGGCUGUUGGAUUGUUCCCAGUCCUGACAGGUACCAUAGAACCAGUGGGAGAUGUACUGUUCUUGUCUUUCCAGCCAGAGAGGAGCCAAGAGGGACCAGAGUCUGAAGCAACAAGAUGCCACAGCAUUUGGGCUUGAGUACAACAUGGCAGAUUCUUGCUGAGUUACACAGAGGUUUCUGCAAGCCAUGCAACAUGACUUUCUGGACAAUGAGACACGUCUGCUCCUGGCAGCACCGAUUUACUUCAUAGAAAAAGAUGGCCAUUGACAACACUCCAUAUGGAGUUUAUCUUCUUCUUGGCAAAAAUAGCCAUUUGGGCAAGAAACUAUUCUUGCCUGAACUGCUUGACAAAAUGUAUAUAAACUGGACAUUCAGGACCUAUAGGAAGGUGACCACUGAACUUUGCAAGGCAAGAUGGUCCUUCAGGUUCUUGCUUCACAGAAGAUACUGCCAUACAUUCUACAGGACACAGAGAAAAAAAUGACUGAGAGACUAGGCCUAUGGGCUGAAGAUGGAUGCCCAACAUUGCAGAGAAACUUUGGAUGACUACCCGGGCAGACAGCUGUCUCUGUUAUUUUCAGAAUUUUUGGAAGUCACUUUUCCUGUUUCCUUAGCUGCAGGGCUGGUGAGUGAGAGAGAUUUGUCAUGACCGUGAGACAGGCAUGACACAGGAAAAUUUCAGCUACAGACCACCACCUCCUUACAACUUGCACCUUCCGGUAUAUUCCUAUGGCAUGUGAUGUAGUUACCAUUGCCUUCUACAAAUUAAUCAAGAUGGGAAACCAACUGGACCAUCCAUUAUAAUUUCAUUUGAAAGUAUCCCUAUCUUCAUUUGACUCUUCUGCUGGAGGAAUAUUAAUUCUAGCUUUGGAAUCAUGUUUCUUCCUGAUUGGGAUUUGACCAAAUACGCCUGGAUGUAAGAUCCACAUGUUCUUAAAAAUGCAUGAUAUUUGGUACAUCAAAGUCCUCAAGUCUCAGGUUCAUCAUUUAAAAGACUAUGGGAUCUUGCAGUUAUGGGGCUACCUAAACCAAACAUGCUGCCUAAAGUCAUUUCCCUGUGACUGUCAACUGAACAACACUGGUGUGGGCACAUAGGAACAGGUAAAUAACAUAAAAACAGUCAUUCUGUAAAUCUGAAAGGCGCAGGGGGUAGUUUUCUCUCUCUAUCCACCCCCCAUGUUAUUUUCUUCCUUGGCUUUUUACCCUACUCCUCAACAGCUACUGCUGAUUUUCAUCUGGGCAACCGUACUAGACCAAAGUCUAAAUUGGCCUGAAGGGUGGUGCCUAGGGUAGCUAGGGCAUUUCAAAGAGUACAUGAUGUUUCAUAAACACUAACAACAUCUAGUCAAUCUAAACACUGUGUCCGUAUUUGCAGAAUGUGGGGCAAUGCUUAACACUACGGAGAUGGCUGUUUCCUCCAGCG
Molecule: long non-coding RNA, 2225 nt
Organism: Peromyscus eremicus (cactus mouse)
Lineage: Eukaryota; Metazoa; Chordata; Mammalia; Rodentia; Cricetidae
Exons: 8
Source: RefSeq, a predicted model, not a curated record